RNAcentral lists this long non-coding RNA (260 nucleotides) under Nicotiana benthamiana. RNAcentral describes it as "long non-coding RNA (NBEN_LNC039170)". Lineage: Eukaryota; Viridiplantae; Streptophyta; Magnoliopsida; Solanales; Solanaceae. The record is from RNAcentral.
GAUGUUUUUGAUUAAAAUCUGUAAAUGAUUUUUUGAACGUUGCUGAAGUAAUCGAUUAUGGAUUUGGUAUAAUCGAUUAUCUGAAUUUGAAUUUUCCAGUAAUCGAUUAUGGAUUGUAAGUAAUCGAUUAUUAAGCGUAAAAUAUGGGAUUGAUUUUUUAUCUGACUGGCAGAUAAUCGAUUGUUUGGUCUUGACAAUAGAUUGUCACUGAGUAAAUUCAGCAAUUCUUAAUUGGCAAUUAGACAACGGUAAGACCAAGU